RNAcentral lists this transfer RNA (80 nucleotides) under Bacillota bacterium. Its description in RNAcentral is "tRNA-Leu". It matches the Rfam family "tRNA". Rfam says of the family: Transfer RNA (tRNA) molecules are approximately 80 nucleotides in length. The record is from RNAcentral. Lineage: Bacteria; Bacillati; Bacillota.
GCGGGCAUGGCGGAACGGCAGACGCGCCGGAUUUAGAAUCCGGCGGUAUAUCCGUGCAGGUUCGAGUCCUGUUGCCCGCA